CAGCAGCAGCCGCGGGAAUACGGAGGGUGCAAGCGUUAUCCGGAUUUAUUGGGUUUAAAGGGUCCGUAGGCGGAUCUGUAAGUCAGUGGUGAAAUCUCACAGCUUAACUGUGAAACUGCCAUUGAUACUGCAGGUCUUGAGUAAAUUUGAAGUGGCUGGAAUAAGUAGUGUAGCGGUGAAAUGCAUAGAUAUUACUUAGAACACCAAUUGCGAAGGCAGGUCACUAAGAUUUAACUGACGCUGAUGGACGAAAGCGUGGGGAGCGAACAGGAUUAGAUACCCCAGUAGUCCCUGUCUCUUAUAC
Molecule: ribosomal RNA, 304 nt
Filed under: uncultured bacterium
Lineage: Bacteria
Description: partial 16S ribosomal RNA
Rfam family: Bacterial small subunit ribosomal RNA
Source: RNAcentral